This 2802-nucleotide long non-coding RNA is filed under the name Homo sapiens (human). RNAcentral's name for it is "HSALNT0289830". The record is from RNAcentral. Lineage: Eukaryota; Metazoa; Chordata; Mammalia; Primates; Hominidae.
GAAUGGCAUCCUCACCUCCAGGUGAGAAUCUGACGCAUAAAACAGCACCCUGCAACCCCAGGUGAGCAUCUGACAGUCUGGAACAGCAUCCACACCCCCAGGCGAGCAUCUGACUGUAUGGAAUGACAUCCUCACAUCCAGGUGAGAAUAUGACAGAAUAAAGCAGCACCCUGCACCCCCAGUUGAGCAUCUGACAGCCUGGAACAGCACCCACACUCCCAGGUGAGCAUCUGACAGCCUGGAGCAGUACCCACACCCCCAGGUGUGCAUCUGACAGCCUGAAACAGCACCCUCCACCACCAGAUGAGCAUCUGACAACCAGAACCUGCACCACACACCCCAAGGUGGGCAUCCGAUGGCAUGGGACAGCACCCCCACUCACAGGUGAUGUGACUGCGUGGAACAGCACAUCCCCUCAGGUGAGCAUCUGACAGGAUAAAACAGCACCCCACAACCCCAGGUGAUCAUUUGCCAGCCAGGAACGGCAACCCACAUCCCCAGGUAAGUGUCUGACAGCCUAGAGCGGCACCUGCACACUUAGGUAAGAAUCUGAAAGCCUGGAUCAACACUCGAAUCUUCAGGUGAGCAUCUGACAGCCUGGAGCAGCAGUGCCCACCCCUGGGUGAGGAUGCUCACCUGAGGUUGGGAGUGCCAGUCCAGGCUGCCAGAUCCUCACCUGGGGAUGGAAGGUGCCAUUGUAGGUUUUUGGAUGUUCACAUGGGGGUUAAGGGUGGUGUUCCGGGUUAUCAGAUGCUCACCUGGGGACGCGUGGAAAACCAUGCCCACCACAAGGUGAGCAUAUGACAGCCCGGAACAACACCCUCCACCCCCAGGUGAGCAUCUGACAGCCUGGAACAGAACCCCACAACUUCAAAUAAGAAUUUGAUAAGUGGGAAAAAGCUCCCCGCCCUCAGGUGAGUGUCUGACAGCCUGGAACAGCACCCCACAACUGCAGGUGAGCAUCUGAUAGCCUGGAUAGGCACUCCACACAGCCAGGUGAGCAGCUGAAAGCCUGGAAUGGUAACCCACAUGCAGGUGAGCAUCCGACAGCCUGGAACAGCAGCUCACAUCCCCAGGUAAGAUUCCAACAGCAUGGAACAAGACCACUGCCCCCAGGUGAGCAUCUGGCAGCCUGGUAAAACAACCCCCUUCAGGUGAGCAUCCGACAGCCUGGAACAGCAGCUCACAUCCCCAGGUAAGAUUCCAACAGCAUGGAACAAGACCACUGCCCCCAGGUGAGCAUCUGGCAGCCUGGAAAAACAACCCCCUUCAGGUGAGCAUCUGACAGCCUGGAACAGCACCCUCCACCUUCAGGUGAGAAUAUGACAGCCUGAAACAGCACCCCACACCCCAGGCAAAAAUCUGACAGCAUGGAACAAGACCACUGCCCCCAGGUGAGCAUUUGACAGCCCGGGAAAGUACCCUCCAUGCACAGGUGAGCAUCUGACAGCCUGGAAACCCCCCCACUGCUUCCAGGUGAACAUCUGAUAGCCUGGAACAGAACCCCAGUUCUCCAAGUAAGGAUCUGAAAGCACGGAACAGCACUCUCACCCCCAGGGGAGCAUCUGACAACCUAGAACAGCACCCUCACCCCGAGGUGGGCAUCUGGCAGCAUAAAACAGCACCCCUACUGGCAGAUGAGCAUAUGACAGCGUGGAACAGCACCCACGCACCCAGGUGAGCAUCUGACAGCCUGGAACAGCACCCCACACCCCCAGGUGAGCAUCUGACAGCCUGGAACAGCACCCACACCCCCAGGUGAGCAUCUGACAGCCUGGAGCAGCACCCUACACCCCCAGGGGAGCAUCUGACAGUCUGGAGCAGCACCCACACCCCCAGGUGAGCAUCUGACAUCCUGGAACAGCACCCCACGCCCCCAGGUGAGCACCUGACAGCCUGGAACAGCACCCCACACCCCCAGGUGAGCAUCUGACAGCCUGGAACAGCACCCACACCCCCAGGUGAGCAUCUGACAGCCUGGAGCAGCACCCCACACCUCCAGGGGAGCAUCUGACAUCCUGGAACAGCACCCCACACCCCCAGUGAGCAUCUGACAACCUGGAGCAGCACCCCACACCUCCAGGGGAGCAUCUGACAUCCUGGAACAGCACCCCACACCUCCAGGGGGAGCAUCUGACAGCCUGGAGCAACACCCCACACCUCCAGGGGAGCAUCUGACAGCCUGGAACAGCACUCCACACCUCCAGGGGAGCAUCUGACAGCAUGGACAAGUCCUGCCCCCCGAACUCCAGCCCUUAAGAAAAUCAGAAGCCCUGGCAGGCACAUUGCCUCUGUGCUGUGCUUUUACCCAGCGAAGCAUCAGGGCAGACAGCCAAUUUCAACACUGCUCUUGGCUGGGAAGUGCCCUCAUCUCUGGCAGCCCCCACAGAGAAAGUGCAGGGCCCCGGGGCUGUGGCUGCCUCAGGGCAGGUCUCCCUUGUGACAGCCUCUUGUCAUGGGCCUGGGAGUGGACCCCUCCCAUCCCUGCCGUGCAUCCUGUUGAGUAGACAGCUCAGGCUAGUACCCAAGAGGGUGGCCAGCAGAUCACAGGGGAUGUCCCUUUUGUCUUAGCUGUUUAUGGGCUGGAGGAACCACUGUUCAGCCACAUCUCCUCUCCUGCCCCUCCUGCAUUCACCCGAGGUUGAUGGGAGCUCUGUGGGGGGAGACAGGCAGGGGAGGGGCCAGGCAACACCUGGGCAUAUCCCCAGGGUGCCUCCUCUGAUCCCCAGGAGGGGCAGCACCCACCCUCUUCUUUUUCCAAUUUGUUUUUAUUGUGGUUAAAUAUACAUAACGUAAAAUUUA